AAAGCUUGAUUCAAGUGAAGGUUGUUCUUGUUUAUCUUCGAAUUCGGUUGUAAGGCUUUUGGUCUUUUUCUAGAAAAGUUUUUUGAGAUGACGUCUCUUUGAAAUUGAUAGACCCCUCAACAUAUUCGAUGUUAUCCUUAGUUGGGGUUUUGUCUCUCAAUUCCACGGAAGUUGUCCAAAAGAAGUGGUGGACUCAAUAGAGUGGAGCACCUCGUCGAGUGCUUGAAGAGACGAACCAUGCACCACACAAUUUACAUAGACAUGAUCAUGGGAGGUUUGAGCAAAAAUAUGGGACGGAAAAUGAGUUUAGGCAACAAAAAUAAGAUUAAAUUAAAAAAUUGUUUGGGCCUUAGAUAAAUUUUUUUGGCUUGGGCCC
This 376-nucleotide long non-coding RNA is filed under the name Gossypium raimondii (Peruvian cotton). RNAcentral's name for it is "long non-coding RNA (GRAI_LNC008817)". Lineage: Eukaryota; Viridiplantae; Streptophyta; Magnoliopsida; Malvales; Malvaceae. The record is from RNAcentral.